AAAAAGAACCUGAAACCGUGUACGUACAAGCAGUAGGAGCCCCAUCACUCAAGUGCCUCGCACUGAGUGAUGCAAUAACAUCACCGAAAAUAGCGCCGAAUUUGCUAACAAGGUUGGUCGAUUUUUUUAAGCCGUCGCGCAGUGUACCUAGAAGUACACGAGCAACGGAAGUUAAAAAAUCGGGCAAGAUUGAACGCAAAGGCAAGCGGGACAUUUGAGGAUGGGGUGACUGCGUACCUUUUGUAUAAUGGGUCA
RNAcentral lists this ribosomal RNA (255 nucleotides) under Proteus mirabilis. Its description in RNAcentral is "partial 23S ribosomal RNA". The record is from RNAcentral. Lineage: Bacteria; Pseudomonadati; Pseudomonadota; Gammaproteobacteria; Enterobacterales; Morganellaceae.